Molecule: small RNA, 184 nt
Filed under: Pseudomonas sp. URIL14HWK12:I10
Lineage: Bacteria; Pseudomonadati; Pseudomonadota; Gammaproteobacteria; Pseudomonadales; Pseudomonadaceae
Also listed under: 3 other names
Description: Pseudomonas sRNA P27
Rfam family: Pseudomonas sRNA P27
Source: RNAcentral
CGGGUUUACUCCUGGUGUUAACCGUUUCAUCCAGCCGGAGCCGGAUGUCGUUUUGGUGUCUGAUUCGGCAACGAAUCGGGAGCACCAUCUGCGUAGGCUGUAGGUUUAAGGCUUUCGCCGCCUACGGUCUUGGACAGCCCCCGCCAGGCAGGGACCCCAAUCUUGUCGCGACGCGCACACGGCA